RNAcentral lists this ribosomal RNA (392 nucleotides) under uncultured bacterium. Its description in RNAcentral is "partial 16S ribosomal RNA". It matches the Rfam family "Bacterial small subunit ribosomal RNA", at positions 523 to 918 of the family's 1533-position model. The record is from RNAcentral.
AUACGGAGGAUCCGAGCGUUAUCCGGAUUUAUUGGGUUUAAAGGGUGCGCAGGCGGCCAUUUAAGUCAGCGGUUAAAUCGUGGGGCUCAACCCCAUUCUGCCGUUGAUACUGGGUGGCUUGAUUGCGGCCGAGGUUGGCGGAAUUCGUUGUGUAGCGGUGAAAUGCAUAGAUAUGACGAAGAACACCGAUUGCGUAGGCAGCUGACCAGACCGCAAAUGACGCUCAUGCACGAAAGUGCGGGGAUCGAACAGGAUUAGAUACCCUGGUAGUCCGCACAGUAAACGAUGAAUACUUGUUUUCGGCGAUAUAAUGUCGGAGGCAAAGCGAAAGCGAUAAGUAUUCCACCUGGGGAGUACGCCGGCAACGGUGAAACUCAAAUGAAUUGACGGGG